This 469-nucleotide ribosomal RNA is filed under the name uncultured bacterium. Its description in RNAcentral is "partial 16S ribosomal RNA". It matches the Rfam family "Bacterial small subunit ribosomal RNA", at positions 28 to 507 of the family's 1533-position model. The record is from RNAcentral.
GACGAACGCUGGCGGCGUGCUUAACACAUGCAAGUCGAACGGAAAGGCCCUGCUUGCAGGGUGCUCGAGUGGCGAACGGGUGAGUAACACGUGGGUGAUCUGCCCCUUACUUUGGGAUAAGCCUGGGAAACUGGGUCUAAUACUGGAUAGGACCAUGCUGUAGGUGGUGUGGUGGAAAGAUUAGUUUCGGUAAGGGAUGAGCUCGCGGCCUAUCAGCUUGUUGGUGGGGUAAUGGCCUACCAAGGCGUCGACGGGUAGCCGGCCUGAGAGGGUGGACGGCCACAUUGAGACUGAGAUACGGCCCAGACUCCUACGGGAGGCAGCAGUGGGGAAUAUUGCACAAUGGGCGCAAGCCUGAUGCAGCGACGCCGCGUGGGGGAUGACGGCCUUCGGGUUGUAAACUCCUUUCAGCCAUGACGAAGCCCUUGUGGUGACGGUAGUGGUAGAAGAAGCACCGGCUAACUACGUG